This 151-nucleotide unclassified non-coding RNA is filed under the name uncultured fungus. Its description in RNAcentral is "sequence contains ITS1, 5.8S rRNA gene". Lineage: Eukaryota; Fungi. The record is from RNAcentral.
CCAAUUUAAUCCAAAAAUACUACAACCCUUGUGCACUGUGAUAUUGUUUGUCUUUGGGGUGGCUGUACUGUAUAUCACAAUACAUUUGCUGCCCCACAUUUGUUCAACGCAUUCUUCUUUUUGUGGUAUCAAUUGUCUUAAUAUAAAAGGA